This 413-nucleotide ribosomal RNA is filed under the name Fragilariopsis cylindrus. RNAcentral describes it as "SSU rRNA". It matches the Rfam family "Eukaryotic small subunit ribosomal RNA", at positions 593 to 1007 of the family's 1831-position model. Lineage: Eukaryota; Bacillariophyta; Bacillariophyceae; Bacillariales; Bacillariaceae. The record is from RNAcentral.
AAUAGCGUAUAUUAAAGUUGUUGCAGUUAAAAAGCUCGUAGUUGGAUUUGUGGUGUGUCCAGUUGGCCUUUGCUCUUUGAGUGAUAGUGCUUUACUGGUCUGCCAUGUUUGGGUGGAAUCUGUGUGGCAUUAAGUUGUCGUGCAGGGGAUGCCCAUCGUUUACUGUGAAAAAAUUAGAGUGUUCAAAGCAGGCUUAUGCCUCUGAAUAUAUUAGCAUGGAAUAAUGAUAUAGGACCUUGGUACUAUUUUGUUGGUUUGCGCACUGAGGUAAUGAUUAAGAGGGACAGUUGGGGGUAUUUGUAUUCCAUUGUCAGAGGUGAAAUUCUUGGAUUUUUGGAAGACAAACUACUGCGAAAGCAUUUACCAAGGAUGUUUUCAUUAAUCAAGAACGAAAGUUAGGGGAUCGAAGAUGA